UACGAAGGGUGCUAGCGUUGUUCGGAAUUACUGGGCGUAAAGCGCGCGCAGGCGGUUCUUCAAGCCAGAGGUGAAAGCCCAGAGCUCAACUCUGGAAUGGCCUUUGAGACUAGAGAACUAGGGUACGGGAGAGGUGAGUGGAAUUCCGAGUGUAGAGGUGAAAUUCGUAGAUAUUCGGAAGAACACCAGUGGCGAAGGCGACUCACUGGACACAUAUUGACGCUGAGGUGCGAAAGCGUGGGGAGCAAACAGG
RNAcentral lists this ribosomal RNA (253 nucleotides) under uncultured bacterium. RNAcentral's name for it is "partial 16S ribosomal RNA". It matches the Rfam family "Bacterial small subunit ribosomal RNA", at positions 524 to 776 of the family's 1533-position model. The record is from RNAcentral.